This is a long non-coding RNA of Pangasianodon hypophthalmus (striped catfish), 4170 nucleotides long. RefSeq lists it as uncharacterized. The transcript is spliced from 3 exons. NCBI's taxonomy places the organism in Eukaryota, Metazoa, Chordata, Actinopteri, Siluriformes, Pangasiidae. The record is from RefSeq and is a predicted model, not a curated record.
CCUGGUGAAGAUCUGCAGCUGGAUUUGCACGUAUCAGAGCGAGUGAAGGUGAUCUAUAAGGGUGGAGAUUCAGCAGAUCCUUAUGGUGAACAGAUCUGCACUGUGGAUAGAAGCUCACUACGCUGUACAGCUGAAUACACACCGAGAACAUCACUCACUAACACAGUUCUUACACUGAGAGGAGUAAAGCUGACUGAUCGAGGAGUUUACAUCGUCCGCGACACGGAGAAUAAUGAAGAUCUUCAUAUUUACGCAGUAUCAGUGACAGUAUCAGUGAGAGAGAGAGCGCUACCAUGGUGGGUGAUUAUCCUGAUAGUGCUGCUGCUGCUGCUUGUUGUUGCGCUGUCUGUUAAAAUCUGCUACCAGAGGAAACUACUUCAACGACAUCAACUCUGCCAAAGAGAUGAAUCGUACAGAGGAGCAGCAGUGGAGCAUACAAAUGAGGGACCAGGCAGAGAACGAAAGCAUGUUGGAGCAGGAAGAGAACCUGAAGCUCAAACAUAAGAAUGGAAUAACAGAGGGAAGAGACUUAUAACUUCAUACAGCAUGAUUCUACUGCAAGUCUUUUUUUUAAUCCCUUUAUCUGUUACAUAUCCUCAUCAGAUCUUCUUAUAGGCUUCUCCUGUCAUAUAUUACCUUUGGAGAUGAUUUCACUGAGCACCACAUCAUCUGUCCUUCUCUGGGAUCUGCUUCAGUCCUGGUUCCUCAGCAAUGUGAUGAGCUUCCAGCUCCUUUAAGAAUAGAACCUUGUGUUUUGGUCUCAGAAGAACCUCCUCUAAGAACAGAACCUGUUCAGAUGGCAUCAAGGUCACAUUAUUAAAUACUAAUGAUAUUUUAUACGUUUCAUCUCUAUUAACUCAUACAGUGGAGCAGGAAGAGACCAGACCUGGAAUGGUACCUCAGAAAUGCCUAAACUGCCAGAGAAACAAAUGAUGAUGAAGCAGGAAGAGAACCUGAAGCUCAAACAUAAGAAUGGAGUAACAGAGGGAAGAGAUUUAUAACUUCAUACAGCAUGUUUGAAUUAUUACUUUUUGUUUUGCAUCGUUGUUUCUGCUCUGACUUUCUUCGGAAGUGUUCAGGUUUGUGAACAUGCAAGCUCAUGUUUUUCCCACCUGUGUGAAGGUUAAAAACUCGGUUUGCUCUGCUGCUGAAGCUGCGCCUUUUACACUUUCAGUUUCUCUAAUUCCUCUCAGCUGUUAAUAUUUUAUUGAACUAGACACAAACUACAUGAAUUACAAAUCGAGCUAACACAUUUUUCCCCUUGUGGUGCAUAAAUAUUCCCACCCUUUAGAAAUGUUGGUCCAGUGAUACAUGAUAAACAAUGUGCAUUAUGAAAUAUAGGCAUCCAGUAAAACAGCUGUGUUUAAUUUUAAAAACUGUGAGAAACUGAGUUUAAUCAUACUUUUAUUCAGUGUCCUACAAAAUUAAUGACACUGAAAAUACGGAGACAAAAAAUAAAUAAAAUAGCUGGGACUGAUCAGUGUUUACUGGGUGUGUCCUCUGUUACGACCCACACCAGUACUGCUGGCAUCAACUUCCAGCUUGAAGGGUUUUCCAAAUUAGGGGCAAACACUGAUCAGUCCCAGCUAGUGAACACGUGUGUGUAUGAGGACACACCCAGUAAACACUGAUCAGUCCCAGCUAGUGAACACGUGUGUGUGAGGACACACCCAGUAAACACUGAUCAGUCCCAGCUAGUGAACACGUGUGUAUGAGGACACACCCAGUAAACACUGAUCAGUCCCAGCUAGUGAACACGUGUGUGUGAGGACACACCCAGUAAACACUGAUCAGUCCCAGCUAGUGAACACGUGUGUGUGAGGACACACCCAGUAAACACUGAUCAGUCCCAGCUAGUGAACACGUGUGUGUAUGAGGACACACCCAGUAAACACUGAUCAGUCCCAGCUAGUGAACACGUGUGUGUGAGGACACACCCAGUAAACACUGAUCAGUCCCAGCUAGUGAACACGUGUGUGUGAGGACACACCCAGUAAACACUGAUCAGACCCAGCUAGUGAACACGUGUGUGUGUGAGGACACACCCAGUAAACACUGAUCAGUCCCAGCUAGUGAACACGUGUGUGUAUGAGGACACACCCAGUAAACACUGAUCAGUCCCAGCUAGUGAACACGUGUGUGUGUGAGGACACACCCAGUAAACACUGAUCAGUCCCAGCUAGUGAACACGUGUGUGUGAGGACACACCCAGUAAACACUGAUCAGUCCCAGCUAGUGAACACGUGUGUGUGAGGACACACCCAGUAAACACUGAUCAGUCCCAGCUAGUGAACACGUGUGUGUUAGGACACACCCAGUAAACACUGAUCAGACCCAGCUAGUGAACACGUGUGUGUGAGGACACACCCAGUAAACACUGAUCAGUCCCAGCUAGUGAACACGUGUGUAUGAGGACACACCCAGUAAACACUGAUCAGUCCCAGCUAGUGAACACGUGUGUGUGAGGACACACCCAGUAAACACUGAUCAGUCCCAGCUAGUGAACACGUGUGUAUGAGGACACACCCAGUAAACACUGAUCAGUCCCAGCUAGUGAACACGUGUGUGUGAGGACACACCCAGUAAACACUGAUCAGUCCCAGCUAGUGAACACGUGUGUAUGAGGACACACCCAGUAAACGCUGAUCAGUCCCAGCUAGUGAACACGUGUGUGUGAGGACACACCCAGUAAACACUGAUCAGUCCUAGCUAGUGAACACGUGUGUAUGAGGACACACCCAGUAAACACUGAUCAGUCCCAGCUGGUGAACACGUGUGUGUGAGGACACACCCAGUAAACACUGAUCAGUCCCAGCUAGUGAACACGUGUGUAUGAGGACACACCCAGUAAACGCUGAUCAGUCCCAGCUAGUGAACACGUGUGUGUGAGGACACACCCAGUAAACACUGAUCAGUCCUAGCUAGUGAACACGUGUGUAUGAGGACACACCCAGUAAACACUGAUCAGUCCCAGCUAGUGAACACGUGUGUGUGAGGACACACCCAGUAAACACUGAUCAGUCCCAGCUAGUGAACACGUGUGUAUGAGGACACACCCAGUAAACGCUGAUCAGUCCCAGCUAGUGAACACGUGUGUGUGAGGACACACCCAGUAAACACUGAUCAGUCCCAGCUAGUGGGAAAGUUACUGAGCAGCUCAGACUGACAUGGAGCAGCUCACAGGGAGAGGAAUCACAACAGACAGGUGGGAAAAACACGAACAUUAUGAAACUGCAGAGAGAGUGUGAGCUCAUGAAGGUGGUUUUAUCUUCACACAGCGCUCACAGACGUUAUCUCCAUGUUACAUACGCUGAGGCUUUAACACAGCUGGAGUAAAAAUGUUAGUGUUGAUGUUCCAGCUCUCUACUGAGAUUCUGGAAACAGCUGAUCUCAUGUUACAUAUAUAUUCUACUGUUUUGAUUAUUAAACUUUUUUUUUUUUAAAUUCUUUUAAACAUUUGUUUUCCUUUUCACUGCUAAUUUUUAGACAUUAAAUAAAAGUAUUACCAAAUUAAAAGGUUUAUUUUUAAAUGCAGCGUUGUUUUGCUGUAAAUUUCCUACCAAACCUACAUUUCCUGCUGCAUGCCGUGUAUCGCACAAUCAUGUUUUAAUAUUUUUGUGUAUUUCCCACCUCUACUAUUUGCUCAUGUUUGAGUUAGCCGAUAGCAGCGAUCUUCUUUCUAACAUUUGCCUAUUUAUUAUGUUCUGCAGUUGAUGAUGUGUAAUCUAGAAAUACCAGAUUUAUUUGUAUAAGUCAAAAGAAUACAGAAAUAAAGUUCUGGCGCUGAGGUGUCCGAAUGAUUGGAAUAAACUUCCUCUAGAUGUCCUAGCAGCUGAGACACUGGUAGUCUUCAACCAACGUCUAAAGACUUAAAAGCACUUCUGUAAGUCAUGCCGCAUUUGCAAAAAUGGCAUAAAUGUAAAUGUAAAUUAAUUUUGUCUGUGUUCUGGAUAGAAAUUAUAGAAUUAUGUAAAUAUGUAAAUAGCUCAUUUGUGGUGCCUUGACUAAAGAUGUCUUCAGAAAGUGACAUCAGAAAAUCCUCCUUUGCUCAUUUAUUACAUUCUGCAGUUGAUGUGUAUAAUACUUGUUUGUAUAAGUCAAAGGAGAAUACAGGAAUAAACAGACGUUUUCAGAAGAAUACAGGAAUAAACAGAUGCAGAAAAACACAAA